GUUGUUGUUUUUGUUUUUGUUGUUGUUGUUGUUGUUGUUGUCGUUAUUGUUGUUCUUGUUGUUGUCGUCGACGUCAUCAUCGUCGUCGUCCUCAUUGUUGUUGUUGUUGUUGUUAUUUUUGUUGUUGUUGUUUUUGUUGUUGCUCGUGUUGUUGUUGUUGUUGUUGUCGUGGUCGUCGUCUUCGUUGUUGUUUUUUUGUCGUUGUCGUCAUCUUCGUUGUUAUCGC
RNAcentral lists this long non-coding RNA (226 nucleotides) under Hordeum vulgare. Its description in RNAcentral is "long non-coding RNA (HVUL_LNC021005)". Lineage: Eukaryota; Viridiplantae; Streptophyta; Magnoliopsida; Poales; Poaceae. The record is from RNAcentral.